AUUCUAGAGUUAAUACAUGCUGAAAACCCUGACUUCGGAAAGGGUGUAUUUAUUAGAUAAAAAACCAAUGCCCUUUGGGCUCUUUGGUGAUUCAUGAUAACUUAACGGAUCGCAUGGCCUUGCGCCGGCGACGGUUCAUUCAAAUUUCUGCCCUAUCAACUUUCGAUGGUAAGGUAUUGGCUUACCAUGGUCUCAACGGGUAACGGGGAAUUAGGGUUCGAUUCCGGAGAGGGAGCCUGAGAAACGGCUACCACAUCCAAGGAAGGCAGCAGGCGCGCAAAUUACCCAAUCCCGACACGGGGAGGUAGUGACAAUAAAUACUGAUACAGGGCUCUUUUGGGUCUUGUAAUCGGAAUGAGUACAAUUUAAACCUCUUAACGAGGAACAAUUGGAGGGCAAGUUUGGUGCCAGCAGCCGCGGUAAUUCCAGCUCCAAUAGCGUAUAUUAAAGUUGUUGCAGUUAAAAAGCUCGUAGUUGAAUCUUGGGCCUGGCUGGCCGGUCCGCCUCACCGCGUGUACUGGUCUGGCCGGGCCUUUCCUUCUGGAGAACCUCAUGCCCUUCAGUGGGUGUGUUGGGGAACCAGGACUUUUACUUUGAAAAAAUUAGAGUGUUCAAAGCAGGCCUUUGCUCGAAUACGUUAGCAUGGAAUAAUAGAAUAGGACGUGCGGUCCUAUUUUGUUGGUUUCUAGGACCGCCGUAAUGAUUAAUAGGGAUAGUCGGGGGCAUCAGUAUUCAAUUGUCAGAGGUGAAAUUCUUGGAUUUAUUGAAGACUAACUACUGCGAAAGCAUUUGCCAAGGAUGUUUUCAUUAAUCAGUGAACGAAAGUUAGGGGAUCGAAGACGAUCAGAUACUGUCGUA
This 858-nucleotide ribosomal RNA is filed under the name Lophiostoma clavatum. RNAcentral's name for it is "SSU rRNA". It matches the Rfam family "Eukaryotic small subunit ribosomal RNA", at positions 155 to 1022 of the family's 1831-position model. The record is from RNAcentral. Lineage: Eukaryota; Fungi; Ascomycota; Dothideomycetes; Pleosporales; Lophiostomataceae.